AUCGAACGCUGGCGGCAGGCUUAACACAUGCAAGUCGAGCGGAGAUGAGGUGCUUGCACCCUAUCUUAGCGGCGGACGGGUGAGUAACGCUUAGGAAUCUGCCUAUUAGUGGGGGACGACAUUCCGAAAGGAAUGCUAAUACCGCAUACGUCCUACGGGAGAAAGCAGGGGAUCUUCGGACCUUGCGCUAAUAGCUGAGCCUAAGUCGGAUUAGCUAGUUGGUGGGGUAAAGGCCUACCAAGGCGACGAUCUGCAGCGGGUCUGAGAGGAUGUACCGCCACGCUGGGACUGAGACACCGCCUAAUGUCCUACGGGAGGCAGCAGUGGGGAAUAAUGGGCAAUGGGGGGAACGCUGAUCCAGCCAUGCCGCGUGUGUGAAGAAGGCCUUAUGGUUGUAAAGCACUUUAAGCGAGGAGGAGGCUACUGAGACUAAUACUCUUGGAUAGUGGACGUUACUCGCAGAAUAAGCACCGGCUAACUCUGUGCCAGCCGCCGCCGUAA
Molecule: ribosomal RNA, 501 nt
Filed under: uncultured bacterium
Lineage: Bacteria
Description: partial 16S ribosomal RNA
Rfam family: Bacterial small subunit ribosomal RNA
Source: RNAcentral